UAUUGGACUUGAAAAAUAAUACAUUAUAGGCAGGAAAACUUUAUAAGCAGUAAAAUUGUAACAGGGUUCUACUGUCAUGAAUUCUUAUCAGCUACUUGAGUAUUUAGUUAAAUGUUGGCAUAACGUAGGUUGAGAAAACACCUACAACGAACUGGACCAAGGAUGCACUGAUCGCGUGGCUGGAGAAGAAUGAGAUAAAACAUGAAAAUAAUUUGUUGAAAGUGGAGCUGCUGAGAAUAGCUAAACAAAACAAGCCCCGAAUACGAUGGGCGAGGUGUGUGGAUCACGUGGAGAAGCUAAUUCAAGCAGACUGGGAGAGAGAAGUCCACAUAGACAGCGGCACCAUUCCUCCACUCAUCAUCCACCUCGGCGAGGAUAGUUCAAGUGAAGACAGUGACAGCGAAGAAUUUGAGGUUACGACACAGCAAGUAGAUGGAGACAGUGAAGUACUGGCAGUUCCUCUUGAUGAUUUACCCGGGUGUUCUUAUUGAGGUCUGUAUGUAAUAAACACCUGGGCAACUGUAAGUAUUGGGGUUUGAAACAUUUUUUUUUCUUUUAUGCAUUCCCAUUAAGUAUGUUGAUUACUGGAACUUUAUGUAUUAACUUUAUAUUACACAUAUUAUAAAAUUAAUAAUAAAUUUCAUUUCUGGAUUCGUAUAGGUGUAUGUGAAACAUUUUAUUUUGUUGUGUCUCUUCAUUUUUCAGUGAACUUACUUGGAAAACAAAAAGCCAGUCCCCAUCCAGGGCCACAAAUAAAUAAUGCAUAUAAGUGGUAUAGAAAUUACUGUCAAUUCUUUACCACAAUUUUACUGUUCAUAAAAUUAUGAUUUUGUCUAAUAAGUAUACUCAGGAAAAUGUAUAUAACCAUAUUUUUAUUUGUGGUAGGGGUUUAUUAAAUAAAAGAAGAAAAUUCAUUUUUAAAUGUUUUCAUCUGAAUUUGUUAAUUUUAUUAAAUCUUCAAUCCUUAGUCUUUUCCAGAUUGCUUAGAUGGACAGCCAUAUGUAUAAUUUACAAUACUUUUUUUUUCAGAUGCAGAAAACUGUGUUGAACUGUACUAAACGAUGAUAUUUAUUGCUUACAUAAAUGUUGUAAAUUUAUAUGUUCUCCUAAAAAUUUACUUUAAAUUAUAUGUUAUUUCUUUAGCUAACAAACUUAUUUUUUAAUAUUUUUACCAUUGGGUAUCAUAAAUGUUAUGCACAUAUACAUGUAUACUUAGAUCAUAUUCAAAUUACUUAUAUAUAUAUAUAUAUAUAUACAUACACACACACACACACACAUUGUUUUGACAGCUGGUGAUUGUAAACAAACCAUUUGACAUUUGUCACAUGGCAAUGUUUUUGUUUACAUACGGCGGAAGGAUACAUAGUGACAUUAAAGUAGAUCCGGUGAAAAGCAGGGCUUCAGAAAAGUAGGAGGUUACCGUGGAUGGACUAUACAGUGUGUUCUGUGUAGGGGAGAGGGGGGUUAGUGUGGACAUGGGGUUAGUGUGGACAGUCAUGAUAUAUCUUUCAGUAUUGACAGAGAAAAGCUAGUAAUUUUUUCAAAGGUUGGCUAUUCUGACUAAAAUCAUGUGAUGCAGUAAGGAGAUGAGGAUUGUAUACUGUUUCUUAAUAUCUAUGUUUAUAUGUUUUUGUUGGUUCCUGCUAUAAUUUUGCAAGCUUAUGAAAGGUAAGAUAUUUUCAGACUUAUUUUUCAUGUAGUUUUACUCCAAUAGUUCUAAAAGUAUGUUUUGUCAACUUAUCUACAAAAAUUUUAGUUAAUAUAUAUUGUCGUCCCAGGGCCCUUAGCACCUUCCCGGUCCCCGAUUUACGCCUGUAAGUUUAAUUAUUAAUGUAUUGCCUAACGUGGCCAGAACUGGGAGCUGGGGAAAUGAGGUUCAGGCCGACUGGAGGAGGUGGAUGUUGGGUCGAAAAUUAGGAAACGUCCGCUAAUUGGUCGCACACUGAUUUAUUUUGCGGCUAGUCCGCCUUAGUCCUGACCGCACCUGUCCCGAAAUAACGGAAUCACACGCUUCCUGCCUCACCGAGAAAUGAAUCUUCCUCCGAUAAUCUCGUUCAGUGACGAAGAUGAACAAAUAGGUACUAGAUAUUGACGAAACUUUAAGACAGACACAUAAACACGUACGUGGCUAAGGAUUUCGGAACUCGUGGAGCGCAGAGUCGCAGGUCCAUACUGCGCGACAGCCAAGUGGCGACUGACUCGCCCCUCUCACCUCGCACACGCUUUGCGCCGCGCGAGGGGUGAUUGGAGGGGGGAGGGAAGUCGGCGUGGAGAGACUAUAUGUUCGCUGCGAACCAGGUGCGGCCCCUACAGAACUACACAUAAACCCUAUUGUAACAUAUAAUUAUUAUUUAAGAAAUAUUUACAAUAUAUACAGGAAAUGUCCGUCUUGGAGCGGUCCUUAUAAGAGGCGUUACGGCGCACGCGGAUGCAUCCCUAGUACAUAGCACUGCACUGCACUGGGGGGGAAAAGGGGCGGCUUCCCUCAGGUACACAGCGAUGGGCAGAAACUGCCUCUAAGCCAAGGAGGACAGGGCAACUGUCGUCAUAUACCCCCUCUCCCCGAGGCCGCUCUGCCCACCGACGUCGGCUCAGGCAAGCAGGUGCGGUCGAGUCUGGUUGUAAGUUCGGUCAGGUGUGUGCACAUCGCUCAUCGGAAGUCGGGCGAACCGCGGCAGCAGCUGCAUGAUGCUGCAGCAAAGUCCACCCCUGUCAGUCCAUCAUAGGUCACGGUACAUGUACUGCCCUUCCCACUCAUAGUCCCAGAGAUAGUAAGGAGCCGUCACGCAGUGUGUGCACUGGUGUACUCUGGGCCCAUCCACAGCGUGCACCACCAUCGUUGUCUCCUCAGGGGGCAUGUCUAGUACCAUGGGCUGCACCUGUUCCUCGUCACUCUCCCCGCUGAGAAGUCGCACCAUCACUUCGUCGGCCAUCGCGUCGCUCGUAGUCGCCCGCCCCUCCCCCCCCCCCCCCCCCCCGGGCCAUCGCUCCCAUGGGCGGGUGCACCCCCGUCGGCAUCUCGUUUAGUGGUCAGGAGGGGUCACCAUCGGGUCGCUCAGGUCGAUCAAGUCCCCGAGAUUUGUGUCGACGUCGGGCACAUCCUCGAUGGUGACGUCCGACUCGCAUGGUCAUUCAUCAUCAUCGUUCAGGAAUAUCGUGUCCACGAGGUGCUCCAGCUCGUCCAGGCUAACACCCCAUGGUCUCCCUCUGUCUAAUGCCUCAGAUGUCGUCGCUCCCCCCCUUGUACCCUGAGUGAUGCCGCCGUCCCCCACAUGGCCACCCUCAGGUGUCGCCUGUUCCUGCAUGGCCCGGUCGGGCUCUUCCGCCGGGUCGUCGCUGGGUACGGGUGUCUGUAGGUGGCAAUCGUCGGUUGAGUCCACCUUUCAAAGGUUGUCUCUGUGCACCUUCGUCGUGCGCCCAUCAGCGCGACAGACGAGGUACGUCGUGCUCCCCCAAACAAGCGACCACCUCCUGUGGCCCCGCCCACUUGGGCGCCAGUCUGGCGCAGAACCCCCUGUUGCCCGACGACGGAUGGUGGCAACAUACGUACACCCACUGUCCUCGCUCGAGCUUACCAGGGGCCUGGUCGUCUGGGGCUUUUGUUGUGCCAGGAAGAGCUCCUGAUGCCAUCGGGCAUCGUCAUGUAGCUUGUCAACAGGUGUCAUGUCCGGGUCGGCGAGUGCUUGUGCUUACCCGGGCAGGGCGAGGUUGCGCCCCUGCACCAGUUUGGCGAGAGAAUGGCCUGUGACCACAUUUGUCGGUUGGUGCAGGCAAUACAGCAAUGUCGGCAGGUGCAGGUCCCACUUGGUGUGGUCUUCGUCCAACCAGAUGCGAAGCUGAGUUUUUAUGUCCUGGUUGCGCCUCUCGGUCGGAUUCGUGCGCAGGUAGGAGGUGGGCAUCUUGCGAUGCCCACAGGACAACCGCCAGUGUCUCCCUAUGAACUGCACCCUGUUGUCCGUCAAGAGGACCCCGAGAUACCCGUAUCGCGGGAAGAACAUGUGCUCAAUCAGGGCAAUCAUGGUGCCGGCCUUCAUGUUUGGUACAGCGAAUGCCUCCGCCCAGCGGGUGAAGAUGUCUGUGACCACCAUGAUAAAACGCUGGCCACGGGACAUGCAAGGGUAUGGCCCCAUGUUAUCCACCACCACAGUAUGGAAGGGAUCCCAGGGCCGCCGUGGGACCUGCUGCUCCUCACUGUCGCUUCUCCGGGACUUCCACUCCUGGCAACGCUGGCAGGCCCUGACAUAAUGACGUACCUCUGCAGCGUCACCUGGCCAGUGGAAUUUCCAUCGAAUCUCCCAAGGCUUCUGCUCUGCACCGGGAUGUCCAGCCAGGGGGUGGUCAUGCAGGUACCCCAGUACCCAUCUCAUGGCCUCUGGCAGCACAUGGGUCUGCCACCUGAACGACCUGUGUGGCUUCUGGUCUGGAGCACACCAUCAAGACUCCGUUGGCCCGGUAUCUCCUUCUCACCGCACUCGGACUGCCGGGACUGUAUGUCUGGGUCCAGGAGCUGCUCAGCAUGGACCUGCUAAAGCAGAUCUGCUAUCAUCUUUGGACAUGAGUCAGGUUCGGGGGCCGCAGGGCUGUACAGCGCAUACAGCUCGAACGGAUGAGGCCCCGAGUUCUCGACGAUGGGCUCGUGUACCGGGGGAAGCACCUUCUCCCAGCCCUGGUCGUCGCAGAACUUACUUAUAAAUCCGAAUGUCGAGACAACUCGUCGGCCAGCUGAUUCUCUCAUCCCGGGACGUGUUCGACCGAGAAAGAGAACUCCUGGAUCAGCAUGGCCCAGCGGGUGAACUUGGACUUCCGGCCCUGAGCAGAGUCCAACCAGCGAAGGCACUGGCUGUCGGUCCUAAGUGUGAACGAGCGGCCUUCUAGGUGGUGCCGAUAGUGCUGAAGAGCCCAGACAACCACGAGGCAAUCCUACUCGUUCACGUGGUACCUUCUCUCAGCCGGCCCAAACUUCGCGCUGGCAUACUCAAUCACACGCCUAACUCCGUCGCCAUCCACCUCGUAAAGGACCCCACCCAUCCCCUCCUGACUGGCAUCCAUCUGGACAAAGAUGGGUCGCCAGGUUUCAAUCGCGACAGCGUGUGACAGUACCGGAAAUGGUCUUUGACCUGGCACAGGUCCUCGUCCGUGGCGGGCGUCCACCGGAACAACAGGUCAGUCAUCGGGGCCGUGAUCGUCGCGAAGUCAGGUACAAAAGACCGCAGCCAGUUCAGCAGUCCCAUAAGGUUUUGGAGCUGCUUUCUGGUCUUUGGCGCUUCUCCUCAAUGAGUUCCAGCUGGGCAGGAUGCGGACGGCACCCCUCCGCCAUCAAAAGGUGCCCCAGGAACAUGAUCUCCUCAGCCCCAAUGUGACACUUGUUCGGCGCACAAGUCAGUCCAUGUCUGGCCAGCAUUUCUAGGAUCAGCGCCAGGUGGUGCGCGUGAUCCUCCCAUGUCCCAGAAUAGAUGAUGACGUCGUCCAGAUAGGCGCUGGCGAAGACGCUGAUAUACCCGUCCAGGAUGCGCACCGUCAUAGACUGGAAAGUGGCUGGGCCGUCCAUGAGCCCGUACGGCAUGGCACAGAACUGGUUGCGCCGACCAUCUGGCACAGUGAACGCUGUCUUCGGAUGGUCGGCGGGACAUACUGGCCCUGCCAGUAGCCCGACUUCAGGUCCAGCAUCGUGAAAAUUUUUGCAUCCCCCAGCCUGGCCAAGUCAUCAGUGAUGUUGAUCUGCGGGGGUGGGGGGAGCGUGGCUAGUCAGUCUGUUGAUGGCCUUGAAGUUUACACUGAAGCAUAAACUCCCAUCCUUCUUAAUGGCCAGCACCACACUCGAGUUGUAUGGGGAGGUGUUGGGCUCGAUGACCCCAUCGCGCAGCAUCUCAUCCACCUGGGACUGGAUCGCUUCGCACUCCCGGGGCCCGAACUCAUGCAUCCUCUCGAACGGCAGGCAGUGCGGCACCAUAGGGAUACUGUUCUCCGUCAUCGUCGUGCCCUUAAAUGGUCCGUCCCCGCAAAUACCUGAGGUCGGAACUCGAGGGCCCGGCUGAUGGCGUCAGCAUGCUCUGCUGGGAUGUUGUGCCUGAGGUUCUCCAUGUGGGUGACUUACUAGGGAGAGGGAGGGGGCCGUAUGCCGUACACCGUCCAGCGCCCGCGGGUGCCGAAGUUCAUCCAUCCAGCUCGCACCUCCACAGCGACAUCGACCUCGUGCAGCCAUGGUGCCCCCAGGAUCAGCCCCUCGCGCAGGUCGGGGACCACCCAGGCCGUGGCAUAUCUCGCACAUGAACAUUGAACGGAACAGGGCCUAGGAUGCUGCCCUGUGGCACUCCUACUCUAAUCUGCUUUAGGUCUGACGUGGCCCCUUUAGUCGAUACUCUAAAGGUUCUGCCUGCUUGGUAGGACGUGAUUAGCUUGACAUAACAUUCAGGGAAAUCAGCUUGGUAUAGUUUAUAGAGAAGCCCUGCAUGAAGCACUCUGUCAAAGGCUUUCUCUACGUCUAGGAACAUUGCAACAACAUAGUCUCGUACGUUAAAGGCACUUGUGAUCUCUUCAGUGAGACUUACUAGCUGGUGAACUGUCGAAUGAGCACCGCGAAAGCCGAAUUGCUCAUUUGGCAGCAAAUUAUUUUCGUGUAUGUGACAAUUUAGUCAAUGCAAUAUUAUGCUUUCGGCUAUUUUCGACACAGUAUUAAGCAGGCUUAUUGGUUUGUAGUUCUGGGGCAGUUUUUGUCUUUGCCUGGUUUGUGGAAAACUAUUGCUUUAGCUUCCUUCCACUGGGAGGGGAAAAUACUUAGCCUGAGCAUUGCAUUAAUGCAUUCAGCCAAAUAUUCCAAGGCCUCAUCUGGGAGCUGUUUCAGAACGAUAGCUUGUAUGCUGUCAUUCCCAGGUUCUUUUGCGGCUUCAUUUUCCUGAUAGCUCGUUUGAUUUCCUGUGCCUGAGUUAAUAGAGGCUCAGAAAUAGUUGGCUGGUGCAAUUUCUCGCUUAAUUCGCGGUAAAUUUGUGCUGUAUAUUGCCUAUCACAAGGCACCAUGUUUGGUUGAAAGGCUGCUUCCAGUGUACUAGCGAAAGCUUGUGCUUUUUUAAGGGGUUUGAAGGGUUGUCCAUUAUUUGUUUCGAGGGGCGGAAUUUUUUCAGAUUUAUUCAAAAAUCGCUUCGUCAUGGUCCAGGCACUCCCAUCCUGAAUAUUUAGUCUAGCGAUUUUUGCUUCCCACUGGCUGCUUCGCCACAGUGAGAUUUCGUCAGAAAUAAUGAGUUAUAGCUCAUUUAUUCUUUGUUUUGUUUGAAGAGUGCAUCGUCGUGUGUAUUCACGUUCUGUUUUUGCGUGAUAUCAAGUCGUGUAUGUAUGCUGGCAGCUCGUCGUGCACUAACUUAACCUCCUUCUCUGGGAUGCACUGGCUUAUACCAUCCUGGAAUUCAGCAGUAAAUUUAGUCAUCGCGGUGUCUAAACUGUCGCUAUCGGUUAUGUCAGCGAUGUCUGACAGAUUUUGCGCGACUUUAGUUUUAAAUCCUUCCCAGUCGGUGUGUUUGUAGUCCCGAAAUUUAUGUGGCGGGUUGGUUUCCGUGUUCGUAUUGUCUAAAUGUAGGAGGACAGGAAAAUGGUCGGACGACAUGUCGUGUACAACCUCGAGUUCGAAUCCCAAGGUUACAUGUUUAUUAAGCACGAUAUCCAAUAUGUCAGGUAGAUUUUUCAGUCUACCUGAGUCGAAUGUGGGUUCAGUAGGAGCAUGAACCUGAUAUUUUUUAUCAAGCUGAUGCGCAUAAAGAAGACCACCAUUUGCUUUCGCGCGCCUGCAAUUCCACUCCCGGUGUUUCGCAUUUAUGUCACAUACAGUGAGGAAGCUCGGAGCGGCCCCAUACAUGACAUCAAGUUCCGCUACACUGAGGGACCUACCUGGUGGGGCAUACAUUGAGAUGAGUUUAAUGUUUUGUUGGUUUAUGUUUAAGUUUAUUCGAACAACUUCUAAAUUUUGAAUAAUGGAUAGCUGGCAUGCAGUGUGUUUAAUGCUGCGGUGAACUACCAGAGCUACUCCUCCCCAUCUGUUUUGUUCUCAAUCGCCCCUACGAACUGUAUAGUUUAGUAUUGUUAGUCAGUUGGUCGGUUGCAAGUGUGUCUCAUUAAUCGCAGCUAUUUUAAUUUUACAUUUUUCCAGGUGGUGGAUGAAUUCCGAUAAUUUAUUUUUAAUGCCACAUGAUUUCCGGAAAAGGAGGGAAUGUGGACUUAACCUAUCGGCCGGGGUUGUUAUGCAACACGGGGCCUGUCUAGUGGCUGCCAUUGAGCUUGGCAGCCAGUGACUGGACGAAGCCCAUCAUCGCAUGGACUUUUUCCGUUAGUGAGACAGAUGGGUCGCACCAUAUGACCAUAAGCUGGCACAUGGGGACAAUUGUGGCCGCCAGAUUUUCAUUUGUGUUGAAAGUGUGUGACUGCUCGAGCACUUUCUGGAAGUCGGUCAGGCCUGGUUUCGUGGCUGGCUGCUCUUGGGGCACGGGCGGUGCAGUUGGCAGCACUGGUAUUGCGUCCACUGCCAUGCUGACCUCAGGUGUGGGAGCUACCUGCGGCCGGGUGAGUGCGGUUGUGUGUCUCGCCGGAUCUGGUGCAGCCUUGGCUGCCAUGAGCUUCUCCUGGACAGGCUGUCACGGCCUGUCCGGCCCAGGCUGCACGGGCCUGUCCUGGGUGGGUCGUGGGGGCUUGCCCUGGCCAUUUUUAUGGCCCAUCGGGUUCUUCUUGAACCCCUGCUUCCGCUGCCAGGGGUUAUUUGCUAGCACUGAGCAGUCCAGCUCGUUGUAGCCAGGCUCGCAGUGCUGCUCCAGGGGCGCAAAUCGGUUGCCACCGGCCUGCUGCAGGUAGUCGCCGAAGCUCUGGGGAAGGGUGUACCUCGGGGUUUCGCAGGGGUUUGGCCUCGGGGGGCCGAAGUAGCCCUGAGGGACCCUCUGUGUCGGUUGGGGCUGGGGCUGCAUUGAGGCCCGCCGGUUGUCGCGCAAGUCGUGGUGAGACUGUUGCUCGCACUGCUUGCGUACCUGGGGCAGAAGGUGCCUGCAGGUCUCCUUCUUGUAUACCUGGCAGCCCUUGUAAUUCGCUCAUUGCGGCUCCUUGCAUUGUGCUCACUUUUUUUUAUCGAGGUUGCCCUCAUUGGGGCAGUUGGGAGCCCGGUGUGGCCCGCUGCACCACCGGCACACAGGGGCCGCGUGGCAAGCCUUGCCAACAUUGUUGUAGCAUUGGCAUACACUACAUUGGGAGGGGCCUGAGGGGCGACGGUAUUCGUCGACACGCACUAGCAUGCCAACGAACUCCUUCAGACCGUAUAUGUGCUCAGAGUCGCAGCUCUGAGGCACCUCGAUUAUGAGUGCAUCGCACUUCUCGCAUCGUUGCCGGUACUCCAAGAACCAGUGAUUCUGGACCGGCAGAUUUAGGGUGCUGAAUUCCUCCUGGAGGAACUCAGAUGGUGUGUGGCGGUGCACUCUGUGCAAUACAGACUUUUUUGGUACUUUGUCCCUCUGAAGGAGGACGGAGUGCUGUGCACAAAUUGCCUGCAGGGCUUUCACUGUCCUGUGGUAAUCGGGGAUGGACGCUACAUUUACCUGUAUUUCGUCAAGGCCAUGGUUCUGGCACGUGAUCUUGUCUAACACCAUCUGUUUAAGGGCAGUGACACCCUCGGGUACUGGUGCCUCUGGUCGAGGAAAACGAACAGGGGCUUGAUUCGAGGUGCUUUUUUGGUGGGCUCGGUCGUUGUUGUUGGCUGAUGGGGGCGGGGGGCGGGGCCCGCCUCGUCAUCACUGCCCGCACCAGACACCUCUUUGUGCAGGCGCUUAGCUCGCUUGCCAGUGGCUACUGUCCAGCCACUGGAUUCGUCGUUUCUCGGCCCUGAAGGGGCCUCACUCACUGCCAUUUCGACAGAUUCGCUUGUCAUUGUAUUGUCACCUGACGCUCGGGGUCCACCCACUGACUGUCCCCCGGGGCUAAGUUAGCCCGGUUCGGGCUAGGCUAUAGGGGAUCUAACUCCCAGGGUGUUGCCAAGUUCGUCGGUCGUCACUACUUACUCUUACUCCGCUUUACCAUUACCACCUGUGUGCAGUUAGCACAAAGGCACCUUUAUCAACCACUGGGUAGCAUUAAUAAGUGCUAAACACAGCUUAAGCAUCGAGCACUGGGUAGAGGUGGGUCUAAGAGUAUCAACCUGAUACUUUGUCACUGAUACGCGCCUGUAUCAGGAAUGGCAAACGAGUACACUUGAAAAGUAUCAGAGACUUCAGUAUCAGUUCAGAAUUCACCUGGAACAACACCACGGCCAAUGAGCGCAGUACCCGAUCGCAGAUGACGGUCACUUGGGCGGAGCUUGUGAAAGGGGAGGGAGUAGGAACGACGAAUAAGGGAUAAAGAAGGGAAAGCAUGUAGGGGAGGAAGCGCAGGGGAAGGUGUUGAAGCUUUGAAGGAGAGGCGCAAAGCGAUAUUGUUACAAGCAGGGCUGCCACUCAUGGGUUUUUCCACCCAGAUCUGGGUUUUUCCAAUGGUGUUUGGGUUUCUGGGUUUUUAAAUAAUGAAUUCCAACAAUUCUAGGUUUUUUAUAAUUUUAAUUAUUUUUAUACCUAAAACAAUAAUAAAGGUAGUAGCUACUGUAUCUGUUGCAAUAUCUGUUUGAUAAAUGCAAACAAGUCUGUGUGUUUCACACACAAAAAUACAUAUAAACACAAAACUAGUUUUCAAGAAGCUAAGUCGAAUAUUAAAUUAGACACAUUCUUCAAAGAGGCUUGCAGAACACAAAACCAAUGCAAAAAUUAACCUUCAAACCAAUCUUGUAGAAUCAGACUCUGAAUAAAGACUAACGUACAUGAUGCAGUUUUAUAAAAACAAUUACCGGUUUAAAGAAUGCAGUGAUGGUGUUUGUUUUGUCAUGUAUAUAUUUGUAGGUUUUUUUUAUGAUAUGUGCUGGUCCAAGUAUUACUUAUACAGCCAUUUUGCUGCAGUGUAAUUUUCUUGUAUUGGUUGUAUUUAACCAUUUUCAGUCUUGUAAGGUAAUUAAUUGUUUUAUAUUAAAACCAGUUAUGUUUAUAUUUUUGAAUUAGUACGCAAACAUUUUCAACGAUAGCAUUUUAGACGCAUGUGGGUUUUUUACCCAUGUGUCUGGUUUUUUUUUGUAGGUUAUCUAGGUUUUUCAUGAAUAUCAGAGUGGCAGCCCUGGUUACAAGUCGUUUUGUUUAUUGUCCUACUUCGAAGUACGCUCAGUGCGCAGUGCGUGCACCGUCUCGUUCAAUAAUAAAACUAAUGAAAUUUUAAUAUUAAAAAGUACAUUAAUACAAGAUAUAAUAUUUAUAUUUGUGCACCUAACAGCUAUGAAAAUGGAAAUAAAUUCUCAGUUGACACUAAUAACAGAUGUAAUCAACAUAUGGACUUUCUUUUUUCGAAAACAAUUAGUAACUAGUGUUUUUAUACAUUAAAAAUUCACGAUUUUAUCAAAAAUAAAAAAUAAAAAAACAGAUAGGUACAUUAGUGAGCAUACUAUAUCAAUGUUUUUUCAAAUGUUUCUUCAGAUUAGUCGAUGAUUUAUAACUCAGUUUUUGUUUACACAAAUUACAAUUAGCAAACUCAUUAUUUUCCGUGAAAAAAUUCCACACAAAUGAAGUCUUUUUCGUGCACUUAUCCAUUCCUUAUUUCACUAUAAAGAUACUAACUACAAAGCAUGACAGCCCGCAACAUGGUGAUACACGGCCAGGACGAACUGCAGUGAAUGUUGAACUGAUUGAUACUGGUUGUAUCAGGCGGGCAUGAGAGUAUCAGAGGUAGAGAAUUACCAGGCGUGAUAAAUAAUGUAUCAGAUUCUCCUUCCGGUCGCACGGUCUGCGUACGCGGAGCUUUGUUGCCUCCUGGGACCAUCUGAUACAGAAGUAUCAGAGACUUGUAACAUGGUACAAUGCUGUAUCAGUAUCAGGUUGGAACAGAUACCGAAAAUUGCUGUAACAACCUACCUCUAGCACUGGGUAGCACUAAGAAGUGUUAGCCACAUUUGAAGCGGCAAUCUCGAGGUUCUCGAAGAGCAGCUCCGGGACACGUCCUUCCUCGACCGAAGCACAGCUGGAACCUUACUUCUUUCUAUGAUUCAACCAAAAAAAAUGAACAAAAUUAUUAUUUACGACUACAAAACUAAGUAUUGUACAGUGGAACACACUUCAAAAACACUUAACGAAAGCACGUAUAAUUUUAUCAAUCUUCCUGCGUUGAAGUAAUCUCUUUGCAAAAA
Bacillus rossius redtenbacheri is the source of this 12214-nucleotide long non-coding RNA. RefSeq lists it as uncharacterized. NCBI's taxonomy places the organism in Eukaryota, Metazoa, Arthropoda, Insecta, Phasmatodea, Bacillidae. The record is from RefSeq and is a predicted model, not a curated record. The transcript has 2 exons.